Molecule: ribosomal RNA, 301 nt
Filed under: uncultured bacterium
Lineage: Bacteria
Description: partial 16S ribosomal RNA
Rfam family: Bacterial small subunit ribosomal RNA
Source: RNAcentral
CAGCCGCCGCGGUAAUACGGAGGGUGCAAGCGUUGACCGGAUUUAUUGGGUUUAAAGGGUGCGCAGGCGGGGGGGUCAGUCCGCGGUGAAAGACGAUCGCUCAACGAUUGCAGUGCCGUGGAUACUGCCCUUCUUGAAUCUGGUUGAGGCCGGUGGAAUUGACCGUGUAGCGGUGAAAUGCAUAGAUAUGGUCAAGAACUCCAAUUGCGAAGGCAGCCGGCUGGGCCAGCAUUGACGCUCAGGCACGAGAGUGCGGGGAUCAAACAGGAUUAGAUACCCCCGUAGCCCUGUCUCUUAUACA